Molecule: ribosomal RNA, 301 nt
Filed under: uncultured bacterium
Lineage: Bacteria
Description: partial 16S ribosomal RNA
Rfam family: Bacterial small subunit ribosomal RNA
Source: RNAcentral
CAGUCGCCGCGGUAAUACGUAGGGUGCAAGCGUUAAUCGGAAUUACUGGGCGUAAAGCGUGCGCAGGCGGUGAUGUAAGACAGUUGUGAAAUCCCCGGGCUCAACCUGGGAACUGCAUCUGUGACUGCAUCGCUGGAGUGCGGCAGAGGGGGAUGGAAUUCCGCGUGUAGCAGUGAAAUGCGUAGAUAUGCGGAGGAACACCGAUGGCGAAGGCAAUCCCCUGGGCCUGCACUGACGCUCAUGCACGAAAGCGUGGGGAGCAAACAGGAUUAGAUACCCCCGUAGUCCCUGUCUCUUAUAC